UGGGGAAUAUUGCACAAUGGGCGAAAGCCUGAUGCAGCGACGCCGCGUGAGGGAUGACGGCCUUCGGGUUGUAAACCUCUUUCAGUAGGGAACAAGGCCAGGCUUUUGUUUGGUUGAGGGUACUUGCAGAAGAAGCGCCGGCUAACUACGUGCCAGCAGCCGCGGUAAUACGUAGGGCGCAAGCGUUAUCCGGAAUUAUUGGGCGUAAAGAGCUCGUAGGCGGUUUGUCGCGUCUGCCGUGAAAGUCCGGGGCUCAACCCCGGAUCUGCGGUGGGUACGGGCAGACUAGAGUGAUGUAGGGGAGACUGGAAUUCCUGGUGUAGCGGUGAAAUGCGCAGAUAUCAGGAGGAACACCGAUGGCGAAGGCAGGUCUCUGGGCAUUAACUGACGCUGAGGAGCGAAAGCAUGGGGAGCGAACA
Molecule: ribosomal RNA, 419 nt
Filed under: uncultured Arthrobacter sp.
Lineage: Bacteria; Bacillati; Actinomycetota; Actinomycetes; Micrococcales; Micrococcaceae
Description: bacterial SSU rRNA
Rfam family: Bacterial small subunit ribosomal RNA
Source: RNAcentral